Molecule: non-coding RNA, 61 nt
Organism: Bos taurus (domestic cattle)
Lineage: Eukaryota; Metazoa; Chordata; Mammalia; Artiodactyla; Bovidae
Source: Rfam
AUAUGGCUCAGAGGUAAAGCGUCUGCCUACAAUGCAGGAGACCUGGGUUCAAUCCCGGCAU